ACGGUAGGGGGCGAGCGUUGUCCGGAAUUACGUGGGCGUAAAGGGUGCGUAGGCGGCAUGUUAAGUUGGAUGUGAAAUACCCGGGCUCAACCGUGGGGGGUGCAUUCAAAACUGGCAAGCUGGAGUGCAGGAGAGGGAAGCGGAAUUCCUAGUGUAGCGGUGAAAUGCGUAGAUAUUAGGAGGAACACCAGUGGCGAAGGCGGCUUUCUGGACUGUAACUGACGCUGAUG
This 230-nucleotide ribosomal RNA is filed under the name uncultured bacterium. RNAcentral describes it as "partial 16S ribosomal RNA". It matches the Rfam family "Bacterial small subunit ribosomal RNA", at positions 524 to 751 of the family's 1533-position model. The record is from RNAcentral.